AGAGAAAAUUGGUGGAUUUCAAGUAAUCAAGCAAUCAAAGGUGGUGAGCCCUCUAACAAGGGUAAAGACGUUGUGUCAGAGGACUGAGAAUAUGAGUAUUUCAAACUCCUGAUACAGCUCAGGAUAGUCGGUAGAUAGCCCAUUUCAUCGAGAGCUACCAUUAGAUUUGCAUCCUCCAAACUGUAGGUUCACAGCCUUUAUUACUUUGGUUAUUCGAGGGCCCACUUGUUAUUGUAAAUUAAAUCUUAUGCUUUGGUUAUCUGUAUUACAAUAUGUAUGAAUUUAAUUAGCUUUUAC
Molecule: non-coding RNA, 297 nt
Organism: Theobroma cacao (cacao)
Lineage: Eukaryota; Viridiplantae; Streptophyta; Magnoliopsida; Malvales; Malvaceae
Source: RefSeq, a predicted model, not a curated record